AACGAACUUGGAGAUAGCUGGUUCUCUCCGAAAUAGCUUUAGGGCUAGCGUCGAUGUUAAGUCUCUUGGAGGUAGAGCACUGUUUGGGUGAGGGGUCCAUCCCGGAUUACCAAUCUCAGAUAAACUCCGAAUGCCAACGAGAUAUAAUCGGCAGUCAGACUGCGAGUGCUAAGAUCCGUAGUCGAAAGGGAAACAGCCCAGACCACCAGCUAAGGUCCCAAAAUAUAUGUUAAGUGGAAAAGGAUGUGGGGUUGCACAGACAACUAGGAUGUUAGCUUGGAAGCAGCUAUUCAUUCAAAGAGUGCGUAAUAGCUCACUAGUCGAGUGACCCUGCGCCGAAAAUGUACCGGGGCUAAAACAUAUUACCGAAGCUGUGGAUACCUUUAUAGGUAUGGUAGGAGAGCGUUCUAUGUGCGAAGAAGGUGUACCGUGAGGAGUGCUGGAGCGCAUAGAAGUGAGAAUGCCGGUAUGAGUAGCGAAAGACAGGUGAGAAUCCUGUCCACCGUAAGACUAAGGUUUCCAGGGGAAGGCUCGUCCGCCCUGGGUUAGUCGGGACCUAAGGAGAGACCGAAAGGUGUAUCCGAUGGACAACAGGUUGAUAUUCCUGUACUAGAGUAUAUAGUGAUGGAGGGACGCAGUAGGCUAACUAAACCAGACGAUUGGAAGUGUCUGGCCAAGCAGUGAGGUGUGAUAUGAGUCAAAUGCUUAUAUCUAUAACAUUGAGCUGUGAUGGGGAGCGAAGUUUAGUAGCGAAGUUAGUGAUGUCACACUGCCGAGAAAAGCUUCUAGCGUUAAUUAUACUCUACCCGUACCGCAAACCGACACAGGUAGUCGAGGCGAGUAGCCUCAGGUGAGCGAGAGAACUCUCGUUAAGGAACUCGGCAAAAUGGCCCCGUAACUUCGGGAGAAGGGGCGCUGACUUAUGGUCAGCCGCAGUGAAUAGGCCCAAGCAACUGUUUAUCAAAAACACAGCUCUCUGCUAAAUCGUAAGAUGAUGUAUAGGGGGUGACGCCUGCCCGGUGCUGGAAGGUUAAGAGGAGUGCUUAGCAAUAGCGAAGGUAUGAAUUGAAGCCCCAGUAAACGGCGGCCGUAACUAUAACGGUCCUAAGGUAGCGAAAUUCCUUGUCGGGUAAGUUCCGACCCGCACGAAAGGCGUAAUGAUUUGGGCACUGUCUCAACGAGAGACUCGGUGAAAUUUUAGUACCUGUGAAGAUGCAGGUUACCCGCGACAGGACGGAAAGACCCCAUGGAGCUUUACUGCAGUUUGAUAUUGAGUAUCUGUACCACAUGUACAGGAUAGGUAGGAGCCUAUGACCUCGGGACGCCAGUUUCGAGUGAGGCGUUGUUGGGAUACUACCCUUGUGUUAUGGCUACUCUAACCCAGAUAGGUUAUCCCUAUCGGAGACAGUGUCUGACGGGCAGUUUGACUGGGGCGGUCGCCUCCUAAAAGGUAACGGAGGCGCCCAAAGGUUCCCUCAGAAUGGUUGGAAAUCAUUCGCAGAGUGUAAAGGUAUAAGGGAGCUUGACUGCGAGAGCUACAACUCGAGCAGGGACGAAAGUCGGGCUUAGUGAUCCGGUGGUUCCGCAUGGAAGGGCCAUCGCUCAACGGAUAAAAGCUACCCUGGGGAUAACAGGCUUAUCUCCCCCAAGAGUCCACAUCGACGGGGAGGUUUGGCACC
Molecule: ribosomal RNA, 1679 nt
Filed under: human gut metagenome
Description: bacterial LSU rRNA
Rfam family: Bacterial large subunit ribosomal RNA
Source: RNAcentral